UUUGUAUGUGUGUACGCCUGUGUGUGUGUGUAUUGAUAGCCUGAUGAUGGUUGAGAGUAAAUUAUGUGUUGUAACAAAUUUCACAUAGUGUUAUUAUCUAGUUGCCAUUUGAAAAUGAUCACGGUUUUUCUAUAGUUUUGGAGUUUCCAUGUCAUGUCCUUGUGUUGUUAUUUUGUUCUUUUAUUUUCUCGUUGUUGAUUUUUCUUAAC
This 209-nucleotide long non-coding RNA is filed under the name Lathyrus oleraceus (garden pea). Its description in RNAcentral is "Pisum sativum (pea) long non-coding RNA (PSAT_LNC018403)". Lineage: Eukaryota; Viridiplantae; Streptophyta; Magnoliopsida; Fabales; Fabaceae. The record is from RNAcentral.